This 463-nucleotide ribosomal RNA is filed under the name uncultured bacterium. RNAcentral's name for it is "bacterial SSU rRNA". It matches the Rfam family "Bacterial small subunit ribosomal RNA", at positions 791 to 1255 of the family's 1533-position model. The record is from RNAcentral.
UAGUCCACGCCGUAAACGAUGAUUACUCGCUGUCGGUUUUUAGGAUUCGGCGGCUAAGCGAAAGUUAUAAGUAAUCCACCUGGGGAGUACGUUCGCAAGGAUGAAACUCAAAGGAAUUGACGGGGGCCCGCACAAGCGGUGGAGCAUGUGGUUUAAUUCGAUGAUACGCGAGGAACCUUACCAAGGCUUAAAUGCAUAAUGACUUAUCUAGAGAUAGAUAUUUCUUCGGACAGAAUGCAAGGUACUGCAUGGUUGUCGUCAGCUCGUGCCGUGAGGUGUUAGGUUAAGUCCUGCAACGAGCGCAACCCCUAUCAUUAGUUGCCAGCGUUUAAAGACGGGGACUCUAAUGAGACUGCCGGCGCAAGCCGCGAGGAAGGUGGGGAUGACGUCAAAUCAUCACGGCCCUUACGUCUUGGGGCUACNCACGUGCUACAAUGGGUAGGUACAGAGGGGCAGGCUACCU